Molecule: long non-coding RNA, 874 nt
Filed under: Salvator merianae (Argentine black and white tegu)
Lineage: Eukaryota; Metazoa; Chordata; Lepidosauria; Squamata; Teiidae
Description: lncRNA (ENSSMRG00000009998.1)
Source: RNAcentral
GCUCUUUUGUCGUAAAAAGCAGAGUGGUAGGGAAGAGCUUAGACCACUUCCUGAGGAAAUGCAAGAUGAGAACUCCAUUCUGCGUGACCGUUCUGGAAGAAUUUCUUUAUAAGCAGUACCAUUUCUUUUCUGGUCUGCACCUGCAGAAAUUAUUCUCCAGAGACGCGCAUUAUUUUCUGUUGUGGCUUGCAGGCUGCUCCNUGACAUUGGCUUGAUAAAUGGGCAUUUUGUGUCUGACAUCCCUUUCUUUACUCUCUAGGACAAAUCCCACUGGUCUUACCUCCAGGAAAUUGUGCAGCAGUCCCUAGAAGAUGUCCCAGGCCUCCUCCAAGAGGCUAUGGAAGAAGGCCUCCGUGAUAUCCAGUACUGCUUUGAGGUCCUUCUCCACGCAAGCCUGAGGAAGGGUGCAGAUAAGGCCAAGGAGCUCUGUGAGGACAUAACCAGAAGCUGGGGUGCUCCCGUUCACGGUUACCCGCAUUCCACAUACCGGGCAGUAUGUAAUCAUAACGGUGUCUACCCCUCUCCAAAGUACCAGUGCGUGGAUUUCAACAGCCAUCUUGCCAGGCCCAUAUUUGAGGNCAUAAGUGUGACCUGGAACGAGAUUUUCAGCUCCAGACUGGUUGACUCCAUUGAAUCCUGCACUAAAGCUCUCCUAGAGAAGCUGAAGUCCUUCUUCAGAGACCUCAAGAAGAAACUGUCNGAACAAAGCAAAAUGGCGGCGGCAAUACAGGCCAUUUGCAGCCAGCAGAUGGAGGCGGCCCGAGCGAGGGUAUUCAACUUCACCCUGGACCUCAUUGCCUUCAGCAGCGAACGGCAGCGCACGAUCUCUCGCCAUCUGACGCCAGAGAUACAGAAGCUCAUGGAACGCGCCUAC